GAUGAACGCUAGCUACAGGCUUAACACAUGCAAGUCGAGGGGAAACGACAUCGAAAGCUUGCUUUUGAUGGGCGUCGACCGGCGCACGGGUGAGUAACGCGUAUCCAACCUGCCCACCACUUGGGGAUAACCUUGCGAAAGUAAGACUAAUACCCAAUGAUAUCUCUAGAAGACAUCUGAAAGGGAUUAAAGAUUUAUCGGUGAUGGAUGGGGAUGCGUCUGAUUAGCUUGUUGGCGGGGUAACGGCCCACCAAGGCGACGAUCAGUAGGGGUGCUGGGAGGAAGGUCCCCCACAUUGGAACUGAGACACGGUCCAAACUCCUACGGGAGGCAGCAGGGAGGAAUAUUGGUCAAUGGACGAGAGUCUGAACCAGCCAAGUAGCGUGCAGGAUGACGGCCCUAUGGGUUGUAAACUGCUUUUAUAAGGGAAUAAAGUGAGUCUCGUGAGACUUUUUGCAUGUACCUUAUGAAUAAGGACCGGCUAAUUCCGUGCCAGCCGCCGCAGUAA
RNAcentral lists this ribosomal RNA (508 nucleotides) under uncultured bacterium. RNAcentral's name for it is "partial 16S ribosomal RNA". It matches the Rfam family "Bacterial small subunit ribosomal RNA", at positions 28 to 523 of the family's 1533-position model. The record is from RNAcentral.